Mustela lutreola (European mink) is the source of this 1461-nucleotide long non-coding RNA. RefSeq lists it as uncharacterized. The record is from RefSeq and is a predicted model, not a curated record. The transcript has 3 exons. Lineage: Eukaryota; Metazoa; Chordata; Mammalia; Carnivora; Mustelidae.
UACGAGGCAAAAACGGCAUCCGGCGGGAAUGGAGCGUAGGUGGCUUCUGGACCUGUCUGGCUCACCUCCGAGGCGAUCGCCCAGCAGCUGCGUGCGGGGAGUCCCACACCUCCUCCGGGUCCACAGAGCGGGAAACCGAAUCCCGACGGGCCCUCCGCAGCGCCGCGCCCCCGCCCCGCCGCCAACCUGCUUCCGGAGCGCGCGCAACGCAGCUUCGCUGCCCCGCACACAGGUCCGCCUCCUCUCCCCUUUCCUCCGGGAAGUCUUCGGUUCCGAUGGCCCCCAGCCUGGGGCCGCAGGCGGCGAGGACCCGCGCAUCCGCCGGAUCUCAGGUGGGAAGCGGCAGGAACGCACCGUCCGGCGCUCUGCUCCGCCUGAUGCAGGCUGGAGCACGCGCACAAGUGCAGAGGUCCAGUCACGGAGCUGAAUCACGAAGCAGGAAAGGAGAGGGGACGUCUUUGGCUUGGAGAGCAGCACGACGAAGCCACGAGUGACUCAUCUUCAGAACAGCUCUGGAGUUGCUCAUCUGGAAUAACUCGAGAAAAAAAAAAACCCAAACCUUGUCAUGGUCAUCACUGAAGCAAUCGAUCUUACGGCACAAUCAUCCCAGGACAGUUAAAACUUAAAAUGUGACAUGAAACCAGAAGAAUUUUAGAAUCACAAGGUGUGAAGAUUUUUACACUUCUGAUGUGGAAAAGGUAUUUCUAAGCAUGACGUCAAUGGCAAAAAGCAUUAAGAAAAUGACCAAUAGAACUGGUUUCUAAGAAAAUCUUAAAACUUUAAAAAAAGAUUUUAUUUAUUGGAGAUAGAGCACAAGCAGGGGGAGCAGCAGAGAGAGAGGAGGAAGCAGGCUCCCCGCUGAGCAGGGGGUGCAAUGCAGGGCUCGAUCCCAGGACCCUGGGAUCACGACCCAAGCCAAAGGCAGAGGCUUCACUGACUGAGCCCCCCCAGGCGUCCCAAGCUUAAAACUUUUCUAUGACCAAUGAUUCCCCAAAAUAGUGACGUAAAUUAGGAAAUAAACAAAGUGCUUUCACAAUUGCAAAAUGAACAAGUCAUUUAAGGACAGUUCAUAAAGCAAUGUCCAAUAAGCAUAAACAUGUUUGACCUCACCAAUCAAAGAAAUACAAACGAAAAUGAUGAGAUAUAAUUUUUUACCAUUAAAAUGGCAAAGCUUACAUUUAUGGAUAAGGCCACUGUUGGCAAGUAUGUGCACAAACCUGUACUCUCGCCCAUUCUUAGGGGAAAUAUAAUGGGAUUAACUUUCUGGAUGGCUAUUUUCUAAAUAUAAAGAAAUUUUAUUUAUUUUUAAAAUUGCACUUAAGUUUGAGUCAGUUCAUGGAAAAAACGUCUUGGAUGAUAUAAACUUCUAUGUGUAUUCCCCAUGCUCUUCUGCCUUUCUUGAAAUUUCUUUAUUUACUUAAUAAAGAUUUAAUUUAUGAGAGAGAGGAAAAAAACACUCUU